AGAGUUUGAUUAUGGCUCAGGAUGAACGCUAGCUACAGGCUUAACACAUGCAAGUCGAGGGGCAGCAUGGUCUUAGCUUGCUAAGGCUGAUGGCGACCGGCGCACGGGUGAGUAACGCGUAUCCAACCUUCCCCUUAGUAGGGCAUAGCCCGGCGAAAGUCGGAUUAACACCCUAUGUUUUCCGUUGCGGGCAUCUAAUAUGGAACAAAGAUUUAUCGCUAAGGGAUGGGGAUGCGUCUGAUUAGGUAGUAGGCGGGGUAACGGCCCACCUAGCCCUCGAUCAGUAGGGGUUCUGAGAGGAAGGUCCCCCACAUUGGAACUGAGACACGGUCCAAACUCCUACGGGAGGCAGCAGUGAGGAAUAUUGGUCAAUGGCCGAGAGGCUGAACCAGCCAAGUAGCGUGCAAGGACGACGGCCCUAUGGGUUGUAAACUGCUUUUAUGCGGGGAUAAAGUCGCCCACGUGUGGGUGUUUGCAGGUACCGCAUGAAUAAGGACCGGCUAAUUCCGUGCCAGCAGCUGC
Molecule: ribosomal RNA, 522 nt
Filed under: uncultured bacterium
Lineage: Bacteria
Description: bacterial SSU rRNA
Rfam family: Bacterial small subunit ribosomal RNA
Source: RNAcentral